RNAcentral lists this non-coding RNA (24 nucleotides) under Cricetulus griseus (Chinese hamster). Lineage: Eukaryota; Metazoa; Chordata; Mammalia; Rodentia; Cricetidae. The record is from RNAcentral.
GUAGACAAACAUGGUAAACAUGGG